UACGUAGGGUGCAAGCGUUGUCCGGAAUUAUUGGGCGUAAAGAGCUCGUAGGCGGUCUGUCGCGUCGGCUGUGAAAACUCGGGGCUCAACCCCGAGCCUGCAGUCGAUACGGGCAGACUAGAGUGCUGUAGGGGAGACUGGAAUUCCUGGUGUAGCGGUGAAAUGCGCAGAUAUCAGGAGGAACACCGGUGGCGAAGGCGGGUCUCUGGGCAGUAACUGGCGCUGAGGAGCGAAAGCGUGGGGAGCGAACAGG
Molecule: ribosomal RNA, 253 nt
Filed under: uncultured bacterium
Lineage: Bacteria
Description: partial 16S ribosomal RNA
Rfam family: Bacterial small subunit ribosomal RNA
Source: RNAcentral